UAGCUUGUUGGCGGGGUAACGGCCCCCCAAGGCUACGAUGGGUAGCUGGUCUGAGAGGAUGAUCAGCCACACUGGAACUGAAACACGGUCCAGACUCCUACGGGAGGCAGCAGUGGGGAAUAUUGCGCAAUGGGGGAAACCCUGACGGCAGCGAUGUCGUGUGAGGGAAGAAGGCCUUCGGGUCGUAAACCUCUGUCAGAAGGGAAGAACAUCCGGGAGUCGAACAGCCUCCCGGCCUGACGGUACCUUCAGAGGAAGCGCCGGCUAACUCCGUGCCAGCAGCCGCGGUAAUACGGAGGGCGCAAGCGUUUAUUCGGAAUCACUGGGCGUAAAGCGUGCGUAGGCUGUUUGAUAAGUCAGGCGUGAAAUCCCUCGGCUCAACCGGGGAACUGCGUUUGAUACUGUUGAACUAGAGUCCUGGAGAGGGUGUCGGAAUUCAUGGUGUAGGAGUGAAAUCCGUAGAUUUCAGGAGGAACACCGGUGGCGAAGGCGCCCCCCUGGCCAGGUACUGACGUUGAGGUACGAAAGCGUGGGGAGCAACCAGGAUUAGAUACCCUGGUAGUCCACCCGGUAAACGAUGGAUGCUAGGUGUCGGGGAGCGAUGUUCGGCGCUGCAGAUAACGCAUUAAGCAUCCCGCCUGGGGAGUACGGUCGCAAGGGUGAAAAUCAAAGGAAUUGACGGGGGCCCGCACAAGCGGUGGAGUACGUGGUUUAUUUUGAUGCAACGCGAAGAACCUUUCCUGGGUUUGACAUCCCUCGAAUUCCUCCGAAAAGAGGAAGUGCCCUUUGGGGAGUCCGGUCACAGGUGCUGCAUGGCUGUCGUCAGCUCGUGCCGUGAGGUGUUGGGUUAAGUCCCGCAACGAGCGCAACCCUUGUCUUUAGUUGCCAGCAGGUAAGGCUGGGCACUCUAGAGAGACCGCCUCGGUCAACGGGGAGGAAGGUGGGGACGACGUCAAGUCAUCAUGGCCCUUACGCCCAGGGCUACACACGUACUACAAUGGCGGAUACAAAGGGUUGCGAAGCCGCGAGGUGGAGCCAAUCCCAAAAAGUCCGUCUCAGUUCGGAUUGCAGUCUGCAACUCGACUGCAUGAAGUCUGGAAUCGCUAGUAA
RNAcentral lists this ribosomal RNA (1110 nucleotides) under Fundidesulfovibrio putealis. RNAcentral describes it as "bacterial SSU rRNA". It matches the Rfam family "Bacterial small subunit ribosomal RNA", at positions 242 to 1341 of the family's 1533-position model. The record is from RNAcentral. Lineage: Bacteria; Pseudomonadati; Thermodesulfobacteriota; Desulfovibrionia; Desulfovibrionales; Desulfovibrionaceae.